RNAcentral lists this ribosomal RNA (469 nucleotides) under uncultured bacterium. RNAcentral's name for it is "partial 16S ribosomal RNA". It matches the Rfam family "Bacterial small subunit ribosomal RNA", at positions 28 to 507 of the family's 1533-position model. The record is from RNAcentral.
GACGAACGCUGGCGGCGUGCUUAACACAUGCAAGUCGAACGGAAAGGCCCUGCUUGCAGGGUGCUCGAGUGGCGAACGGGUGAGUAACACGUGGGUGAUCUGCCCCUUACUUUGGGAUAAGCCUGGGAAACUGGGUCUAAUACUGGAUAGGACCAUGCUGUAGGUGGUGUGGUGGAAAGAUUAGUUUCGGUAAGGGAUGAGCUCGCGGCCUAUCAGCUUGUUGGUGGGGUAAUGGCCUACCAAGGCGUCGACGGGUAGCCGGCCUGAGAGGGUGGACGGCCAAAUUGGGACUGAGAUACGGCACAGAAUCCUACGGGAGGCAGCAGUGGGGAAUAUUGCACAAUGGGCGCAAGCCUGAUGCAGCGACGCCGCGUGGGGGAUGACGGCCUUCGGGUUGUAAACUCCUUUCAGCCAUGACGAAGCCCUUGUGGUGACGGUAGUGGUAGAAGAAGCACCAGCUAACUACGUG